CCUACGGGUGGCAGCAGUGAGGAAUAUUGGUCAAUGGGCGCGAGCCUGAACCAGCCAAGUCGCGUGAAGGAUGACUGCCCUAUGGGUUGUAAACUUCUUUUGUAAGGGAGUAAAGUCAGGCACGUGUGCCUGUUUGUGAGUACCUGAUGAAUAAGGAUCGGCUAACUCCGUGCCAGCAGCCGCGGUAAUACGGAGGAUCCGAGCGUUAUCCGGAUUUAUUGGGUUUAAAGGGUGCGUAGGCGGGGUGUUAAGUCAGCGGUAAAAUUUCGGGGCUCAACUCCAUCCAGCCGUUGAAACUGGUGGUCUGGAGUGGGCGAGAAGUAGGCGGAAUGCGUGGUGUAGCGGUGAAAUGCAUAGAUAUCACGCAGAACCCCGAUUGCGAAGGCAGCAUUCCGGCGCCCUACUGACGCUGAGGCACGAAAGUGUGGGGAUCGAACAGGAUUAGAUACCCCAGUAGUC
RNAcentral lists this ribosomal RNA (459 nucleotides) under uncultured bacterium. RNAcentral describes it as "partial 16S ribosomal RNA". It matches the Rfam family "Bacterial small subunit ribosomal RNA", at positions 338 to 795 of the family's 1533-position model. The record is from RNAcentral.